Molecule: long non-coding RNA, 422 nt
Organism: Varanus komodoensis (Komodo dragon)
Lineage: Eukaryota; Metazoa; Chordata; Lepidosauria; Squamata; Varanidae
Exons: 3
Source: RefSeq, a predicted model, not a curated record
UGGAAGAGCAGCUUACAUCAAUCAGGAAAAGAGACAGACCCUGCCACCAGGCAUGCAAACAGAACAGACAAGACAUGUGCACAAGAGAAGGGAGUGAAGGGAAGAGGAGCGAGAUGGAUUUUUCAAGGCCAGAACAAAGUGCUGAGCUAUAAGCGGCCAUUGAAAUGCACUUUGGUCCAGUGCAUUUUCCCUUCCUGUCCAGGAGUAGCAACUGCAAUGCUUACUUAGCUCUUGAAAAUUACAGAGAAGUGAAUGAAGGUGAACAAGCUAUAACUGAACCUGAAGAAGACUAAUUUGAUUCUGCUCCUGUAUGGAUUUGGACCCACAUUUUCUAAGAAGAGGCUGUGGCUGGCUAGCAGAUCUUGGAGUUCCAACACCCUCCCUGCCCCAAAACCCAAAGUAGAUCCUGCAAGAUUGAAGUC